Molecule: unclassified non-coding RNA, 598 nt
Filed under: Hevea brasiliensis (rubber tree)
Lineage: Eukaryota; Viridiplantae; Streptophyta; Magnoliopsida; Malpighiales; Euphorbiaceae
Source: RNAcentral
GCUCGAGAAUAUGGGCUAAUUGAUAAGCCAAAUGUGACAGUUCCAAUGAGCAUUUGGUGGCUAGUUCCUCAAUAUGUCAUGUUUGGACUUGCUGAUGUAUUUACCAUGGUAGGUCUGCAAGAAUUCUUCUAUGAUCAGGUACCCAGUGAAUUAAGAAGUGUGGGUCUCUCUCUCUACCUCAGCAUCUUUGGUGUAGGAAGCUUUAUAAGCAGCUUUCUCGUCUCUGCCAUUGAAAAAGCUACUGGCGGGGAAGGCCAUGAUAGUUGGUUCGCUAAUAAUUUGAAUCGGGGUCAUCUUGAUUACUUCUAUUGGCUACUUGCUGCGCUAAGCAUUGUACAGUCGGUUGCUUAUUUGUAUUUUGCAAAGAAUUAUGUGUAUAAUAGGUGAGCACAGUAUAAAUGCAGUGAUUCUUGCUAUUAUUAUAAUUGAUGUACGUAGUCAGAGAUAUUUAUAUCUUCUUGAAAAAGAGAGAGAUCUUGUUGUAAGUACCUGUGUGUAAAUCUGAAUCUGUAAGUGUACAACAAUUGUAUAAUCAGCCAAAUUUACUGUUUUGUAUACUCAGCAGCUCUUUCCAAAUAUUUGUAAUUGCUUAUUCGAG